GACGAACGCUGGCGGCGUGCCUAAUACAUGCAAGUCGAACGCUUCUUUUUCCACCGGAGCUUGCUCCACCGGAAAAAGAGGAGUGGCGAACGGGUGAGUAACACGUGGGUAACCUGCCCAUCAGAAGGGGAUAACACUUGGAAACAGGUGCUAAUACCGUGUAACAAUCGAAACCGCAUGGUUUUGAUUUGAAAGGCGCUUUCGGGUGUCGCUGAUGGAUGGACCCGCGGUGCAUUAGCUAGUUGGUGAGGUAACAGCUCACCAAGGCCACGAUGCAUAGCCGACCUGAGAGGGUGAUCGGCCACAUUGGGGCUGAGACACGGCCCAAACUCCUACGGGAGGCAGCAGUAGGGAAUCUUCGGCAAUGGACGGAAGUCUGACCGAGCAACGCCGCGUGAGUGAAGAAGGUUUUCGGAUCGUAAAACUCUGUUGCUAGAGAAGAACAAGGAUGAGGGUAACUGUUCAUCCCUUGACGGUAUCUAACCAGAAAGCCACGGCUAACUACGUGCCAGCAGCCGCCGUAA
Molecule: ribosomal RNA, 524 nt
Filed under: uncultured bacterium
Lineage: Bacteria
Description: partial 16S ribosomal RNA
Rfam family: Bacterial small subunit ribosomal RNA
Source: RNAcentral